This 227-nucleotide ribosomal RNA is filed under the name uncultured bacterium. Its description in RNAcentral is "partial 16S ribosomal RNA". It matches the Rfam family "Bacterial small subunit ribosomal RNA", at positions 114 to 334 of the family's 1533-position model. The record is from RNAcentral.
AACGUGGGUAACCUGCCCAUCAGAGGGGGAUAACAUUCGGAAACGGAUGCUAAAACCGCAUAGGUCCUUUAACCGCAUGGUUGAAGGAGGAAAAGAGGCGCAAGCUUCUGCUGAUGGAUGGACCCGCGGUGCAUUAGCUAGUUGGUGAGGUAACGGCUCACCAAGGCCAUGAUGCAUAGCCGACCUGAGAGGGUGAUCGGCCACAUUGGGACUGAGACACGGCCCAA